This 78-nucleotide transfer RNA is filed under the name Streptosporangiales bacterium. RNAcentral describes it as "tRNA-Ile". It matches the Rfam family "tRNA". Rfam says of the family: Transfer RNA (tRNA) molecules are approximately 80 nucleotides in length. Their secondary structure includes four short double-helical elements and three loops (D, anti-codon, and T loops). Lineage: Bacteria; Bacillati; Actinomycetota; Actinomycetes; Streptosporangiales. The record is from RNAcentral.
GGGGCGGUAGCUCAGCGAGGUAAGAGCAGGGGACUCAUAAUCCUCCGGUCGUGGGUUCAAAUCCCACCCGCCCCACCA